CNGACCCCAUGCCGAACUCAGAAGUGAAACGCCGUAGCGCCGAUGGUAGUGUGGGGUCUCCCCAUGCGAGAGUAGGGAACUGCCAGGCA
This 89-nucleotide ribosomal RNA is filed under the name Escherichia coli. Lineage: Bacteria; Pseudomonadati; Pseudomonadota; Gammaproteobacteria; Enterobacterales; Enterobacteriaceae. The record is from RNAcentral.